CCGCCCCCGGAGCCCCCAGCGGCCGCCGCCGUGCCGGGCAGUGCCGGAAGGAGCGCGGGUGGUCGGCGGGAGGCGGAAUGCUGCCUGCGGGCUGCGGCGGGCGGUUGGCGGCGGCGCUGCAGGCGGCACUGCGCGGCGGCGCGGAGCGGCGGAGGGAGUUGGAACGGAGUGCGGAGCGCGGCCGGGAUGUGCUGCGGGGAGAGCACUCCUUCAUCCCGGGAACUGGAGGAGCUGGAGCUGCUGAACGCCGCCCUGGAGAAAGCGCUGAGAGUCAGGGAAAGCGUCUCCGGAGCGCCCGCAGCGGCACGGGGAGCUCCGGGAGCAAAGCCUGCGGGCGGGGCGGCUGACGGCGGGGAUACCGGGGAGCUGGAGCUGCCUGCGGCCACCAGAGACGGCCCUGCGGCUGCCUGCCCCACCUGCGAGGUGAGAGCUGGAAGCCGGCAGCCCACCGCUGCCAAGAAGCCUCCUCCGUACCGGCUGCGAGCCCCAUACAGGACUGACCCAGAUGUGAGAAGAACCCAAAGGAAAGCCCCGGCAGGACGUGUCAGCAGAGCUCCUGGGGCGGCCGGGAAGAGCUCUUCCAAAGCUGUGGCUCCCAAACAAGGAGGCAGGCGUGGGCCGGCGGUCCCUGCGGCAGCCAAACCCCAGAGGACAGCUGGCUUCCCCAGGUCUGCCCCCAGUGAGCAGCACGGCCUCCCUGCUGGGGAUGGGAGCUCGGUGGCUGUGUGUGGGCAGCAGCUCAGUGCGGGGAAGAGGUGCUGUGCCCCCCUCGGGCUGCCCGGCGGAGCAGAGGAGCGCAAUGCUGGUGCACGGAGCGCAUCACCGCGGGCAGCCGCGCUGCAGGAGCAGGGGUGAGUGCUGGCUGUGCUCAGCAUGGCCAAACACAGCUGCAGCACUGCUCUAUACAGCCUGAUUUGGUUCUGCCAACCCUCACCUUCUUUGGAGGUGAGGGGCCUUUGGAGUCCAGAAGCCUUUGUGGCCGUUGAGUAAGCGUCUGCAUGCUGAGAGCUGCUCUCACAUGGCUGGGACUUCAGCCCUUUCAUUAUGACUUCUGCUACUUCUCAGCCCUUCUGUGACUGCUUUGGAAAGUUGUCUCUGUAGAGCUUCCCUCAGAGUCCACUUUCCGUAACAGCUUAUUGAUUUUCUUCAUUUUCAUUUAUUUAAAUGGAGAUAACGAUAAAUAGUUCACAAAUCAUCGCUCCCUCCCUCAAAAGCCUUCACCCAGUGCUGUUUGGAGAGAGCCUAUCUGGGUCUCAUGCCCUUUAACCUCUAAGAUGCUGCCUGCUUAACUGUAGAAUCGGGAUUAGCCUGAGUGUAUGGUGUAGGAAGGCUUACAGGGUGGGUGUCAGUGCCACGUCCUGCAGAAAGGCAGGAAAACAAUACUUAGAACUGUGGCAGACCAGUCCGUCUGUUCAAAUAACUUAUGUGCUCAUUUCUGUGUGUUCUGUGCUGUAGAGAAAUGCUGACGUUAAGAUCUGGUCGUGCAUUUGGGUAACACUGAGAUGUUGCUCUCAGCAGCUGCAGCCCAACUCUCCUGUGUCUGUGCAGGGAGGGGAUUGCAGUGCACGUGCUGGGGUGGGUGCAGGACGCAGAGUGACUGCUGGGGGAACAGGAAUGUGGAUUCGGACGUUUAUUUCCUUUCACCCUGGCUGCAGCGCUGUCUGCAGUUUGCACAAGGCUCAGCUGUAACUGCCAGCUCAGUUGGCAGAGGGCUUUGCACACGAAGGAAUGGGAAAGGAACUUUGCAAUAUAUUCAUCUCGCCCCCACAGCUGAUCAAAGCCUGACUCGUUACUGUCUGUGCAGUGGGAGCUGCAGUGUGCCUUUCCCAGCCUUGCUAGGUGAGGUGACCUGGUGGAGCUCAGGUGCAGCAGUGCAGUGUGAAGAAGGGCUGUGCACAGCUGAGCAGCAGUCAGCUCACAUCAGAGCUGUGGCUUUCCCCCCUUGUGUUGGGGCUUUGGCCCCAGCCCUGGCAGCACGAUGUCAGAGCUCCCCCAGCCCUGCUCAGUGCUGGGUGUACAGAGGAACACCCGACGCUCCCACGCGCUGAUGGCAGCAGUGGAUUUAAUUUCUGGGGCUUCUGAUGUCUUCCGUUACAGCUAAACUAAUUAAGACAAGAAGUAGAUUACUCUAUUGGAGGACAAGGCUCUGCCGACCUCCGCCAGCAGCAUUGCUGAGCUCCUGUUUUGCAGAUGCCAGCUGGAGCUGCCCCUUCCCUACAGGAAAGCCCACACCAGGAACUCCAGGGCAUGGGAGAAGUGCCGUCUCUGCCACACCAGUGCUGAUGCAGCGGCUGCGAGGACGCGUUUCACAGAGAGGAUCCAGAGCUCCUUUUGUUCACCAACGCCGACGCUCAGCCCUGCAGAGAUAGAGAAGGAAUUAAAAGCCCUCCAGGAUGUCCCCUCCCGUCUGAGCCUGUAUGUGGAAGCUGAGUCUGCAGACCAUCCCACUCUUCAAAGAGAGUAUGAAAGCCUUCUGACCUUGGAAGGUCUGCAAAGCACAGUCUCCCAGUGCUUGCAUAAGCUGCAGCUCCUACGGGCAGCUGUGGAGUCCCAAAGGAAGCUGCACCCAGGCUGCACUGGGGACCAAAGAGACUGCUGUGCAGCCUGUGCUGCUGGGGCUCGGGUGUGUGGCAGUGCAGGCACGCUGGCUGUGCCUCUCCUGUGCUACUCCAGGCUGCAGGAGCUGAGGGAUCUGUUUGCCUUGAAGCUGCAAGUGUCGAUGCUGCACCAGCAGAUUGCCUUACAAAAGGUGAGUCUUUAAGGGUUAGUGCUGCUGUGGUAGAGCAAGAAAAAGGCAGCUGUGGAGCAGCAGGGAGCAGUGGCACAGCAAGCUUUCCCAGUGGUAUUUCUUUAUGCAUCACGUCCACGUCCCAUCAGUGCCACACUGACUUUGUGGAAGAAGAGACCACCCCUUUCAACAACUUUAAGUGUCUGACACUCUUCUGAUAGCACUUUCUCACCAAUCUUCUGGAGCGUGGCAGUGCAGGCUGGUGUUGGUAGUGCUUGGAGAUCAGCUUUGGCCACUCUUUACUGUCCCAUCAGGGCCCCCACUUUGUCAUCCUCUCGUGUGACCUCUUCAGCUCGCGAACUUCUGUGCUGCCUGCUGUUUUCCUCUUAGUGUCAACCCCCCGUGCAGCUAAUCUUGGCUUUACCUUCCUUCCACGGCCUGUAAGAACAUGAAGGGAAGUCAGGCUCUCCACCAGCCCGAGCACAGUGCUUGCUGCACGGGGACCGUUUGUUCUUCUCGACAGCAAAGGGCAGAGAUCUGUGAAGCCGUGCCUCCCUGUACCUCUGACCUACCCUUCAACCUACCUCAGUGACAGAGGCUCUGGAAAUGCAAUUGUUUAUAACCCAGGGAAGUUAUUUAUAAGAUGCCGUGCUUCUCUCCCUGUCUGAAGAUGGACUGUUGCUUGUUUCCAAAUGGGAUUUUAGUGCUAUAUCCUUUGAAUUAUGGGUUGUGAGGUCUUUGCUUUUAUCUGCCUGAAGCAUUGCAGUGGCUGAAGCCCCUUGCUUCGCUGAUGGGUCCCAUUUCCUCUGCAUGAGUAUUUAAAUAGGUGCUGUGUGCCAGCUGAGCUCUGAGUAUCUGAAGCAGCUCUCUUCAGAGUAUGCAAGGUGCGUGGAAGUCUUGGGACAGGUGAGGUGAAUGGACUUGGUGCAGGAUAAAUAACCAGGGAAAGGAUCUAUUUGUCUCUGGGCCAAGCCCGUCCAUUGCAGGCGGAGUAACAGCAGGAAUCAUAGCAAGUGCUGUUAACUCUUAGCUUGUCUUUGGUGAAGGUCUGUUUCCCUUUAUUCUUCUGUAUCAGGAACUGAUGGGGAAGGAAUAGAGGAUGGGCUUUCUCUUCAGAGUGCUACUUGCCCCCACUUGUGCCAGUUUUCCCCUCAGGUGGCAUUUUGUCUACGGGUCUUAACUCUUUUCAGAGAUAAGCAACUGUGCUGUCCCUGUUUCCUGCAGAGAUCUAUAGAGAACUGUAGAGAAGACCCCUCUGCAGCUGCCCUGAACUCUGUCCUGAGUCCUCCUUUCUGUCCUCUGCUGGAACAUUCCUGGAGGGAAUGGAGUUUAUCAUCCACUCCUGUCAUGAGCAGCAGUGCACACAGUAGGCCACGUGCAGCUCCAAUGAGCUGACUGCUUGGAGUUUGGUAGCAGAUAGCAGCUGAAAAAUCCUUGGCCAAAUGCCUUUCUGAGUAUUCAUUCUAGUCCGACACACUGAAGGUUAGCUUUUGUCCUGAUAGUGACUUCAUUUGUGCUUCAGUUGUCGGUCACAUCGCAGAGCCGGGUGCUGUUCUGCUGCUGCAGGCCAGCAGGGUGCUGGAGAGUGGGCUGAGCUCACUGAGAGCUCGGCUGUGUGAGCCAGGGGCCAGGCAGUCAAAAAGAAGAGCUGUGCUCAGCAGUGGGUCAGUAAGGCCUGAGUGGUGUUGUUGCAGAGCUGCCAAAUCAACAUCAGCUUCACCCUGUUCAACAUCCAACAUCAGCUUUAAGGACUGUUAACAGCGUUAACGAUUAUUUAUGAGGGUGGAUAGUGAUAGGACAAGGGGGAAUGGUUUUAUACUGAGACAGGGGAGGUUUAAGUUGGCUAUUAGGAGGAAGUUUUUCCCCCAGAGGGUGGUGACGCACUGGAACAGGUUGCCCAAGGAGGCUGUGGAUGCCCCAUCCCUGGAGGCAUUCAAGGCCAGGCUGGAUGUGGCUCUGGGCAGCCUGGUGUGGUGGUUGGCGACCCUGCACAUAGCAGGGGGUUGGAACUGGAUGAGCAUUGUGGUCCUUUGCAACCCAGGCCAUUCUAUGACUCACCUUUGUGUGCCCUCAGCUUCUCACAGGGUGCAGCUCAGUGCAGCGCCAGCCCUUCCCUUCAGCACGGUGCAGCACAGGAGCACUGCCCAUCAUCUCACUGCUCAAAGCACUGCAUGGCUGCUGGUGUGCUUCACAAGCCAGUAAUGAGCAGCCCUGCCAUCCUGAAAGCUGACAAAGGAAGGCUUUCACCUGUCACUCACGAUGACAGAACUGCUGCCUGUCCUGGACUCCAGGCCCUGCCCAGGGACCUCUGUGGCUCAGCUCUACAGGGCGAUGUACACACAGCUCUGCGCGGGAGGCGGGCGCUUCCCUGUGCUGGUGCGAGAUGAGCUGGCAGACUGAGCUGGUGAGAGCCUCCCUAUGGCCAUUCACAUAAACAGCCACAGUUUUAAGCAAUAAAUCCUUUCUGAUAACUUUUAGUGCUUUGCCUGUUUGUCCAUCUAAAGGAAACUGAAUUUCUGGGCCUUGGCUUGUUCCUCGUUGGUCGCUUUUACAGCUUGCUGAUCAUGAAGGUCUGUGAAGCCUCUUCAUGGACACUGGUGGUAGGUGUUCCUCCAAGGUCUGUCUGCUCUGGAUUCUUGUCCACGUCAGCCAUGACAUUGGCCUUGUAUUCAGAUAACACAGCUGUCCCUAACACUGCUUUACACUGCUCACAGUGUGUUGGGGCACAGCUUUCCAGGAUAAGAAAAUCCAGGGAAAAUGAGCUGCUACUGCCAUAUAACUUUGUUCUUAAGUUGGCAUUACAGUAAUACUGACUGGCAGUGUUUCUGAUGUCUUCAUCCACAGCUGCCCAGGCUGCAUGCAGUAGUGCCUCUCUGGGGUCUGCUCUGGUUGGCAGACAUUGCUCUGAGCUGUGCUGCUGCCCGGACCACUGCAGCUGGAGCAGCCCCUUCAGCCCUUCAGCAAGGUGGGUCACCUUGCUGCUCAGAUCACGGCUCCAUCAGGCAGCUUUGUGACUUGCCACGCUCUUUUGCAAUGACUUACACCUCUAGCCUACAGCUGACAUACUUCUGCUGGAUCAUCUUAUCAGGGGAUGGUGCCUGAGCCAGAGAAGGGUGGGCUGUGUGUGCUCGGAGGGAUGCAGCUGCAGCAGGAGGGAGUGAGGGAGCAGCCCGGUAGAUGGCACUCAGCCCUUUGCAUGGCUGCUGUAGAAGCAGUCUUCCAGAGUGACUAACACAGUGCCCUGCCCAGCUAUGGAAAAUACAAGUUCUGUAGCAAUCCUGACCUUGCCACCACAGGAACUCCUGCUUUGGUUCUUCCUGCGCCUUCAGUCUUCACUUAAACCCCUGGCACUGCUGUGUGGCAAUUGCUUCAGAGGCACGUGGCAUACUUCUGGCUUGCAAGCAUUUUGAAGUCCGUUUAGCAAAGGGCCACUAAAUACUGAUGCAGCAUUUCUACUUCUUGCUACAGCUGGGCUUGCAUCAUACCUUGCAGCUGGACCAAAGUCCUGUUUGGAGGAGUUUAGCUCUGGGAGAUGCUGACGUUGGUCAUUAUUAUUUCCUUCUGUGUUGUUUUGUUUUUUUUUCAGGGCUGGAGUUAAGGUGGUCUGACAUCCAAAUGUUGGACCCUUUCUGACCCUCAGAAUCAGCCCAAACCCAUCCCAAUGCUGGGUGAACAUCAGCUUUUUACCCUCACUUUAAUUUCUUCGUUGCACUGCAUUCGGUUCUUUAUGUUUUGGUUCAUGUGGGGUGUUCAGCUGGGGCAGCUCUGCCAUGCAUAACGGCAGCCGCUCAGCAACAUCAGUUCUUGGAGUCUGGAUGUAUUUUAUCUACACACCUGGCAGGUUUUCUGCAUACAGAUGUCAGCCAGAGGCGGGGGGGGGGGACUGUUGUGUUAGAAAUGCACUGCUGUUACAGAAGGAAAUGAUGCCGGUGCUUCAGACUGAGGUGAGGAGACAAGAGAUUGUAUUUGUGAUGCCAGAGGAUGGUGUUAGAAAAGAGACAGGAAAUACUCAGUGCCUCCUGAAGGUGAUGGAUGGCACCACCCUAACUGGCUGUUGGCUGCGAGUCAGUGCAGCCAGUGCUGUGUUUCACUGGGAACUUACCAGUCCUCCUGUGCCUCAGCGGAACCCCACAAAGCAGAACCCCUAAGCACGACUCCAUCUGACUCCAAAGCAAUCCACCCUGCAGGCAUUGGAGUUUCUAUUCUGCACCGUGCCGAUGAAAUUCUACUUCUGUGACAUGAAAAGUGCCAGGGAAGAUCUGUCCUCUCGCUUUUCAUUUGCUGAAGACUUUCUUUUUGCACACUGUAAUUGAGAAAAAUCGAUUGCUGCUUAAUUAAGCUGAGUCUGGUGGGUGUUGUGUCUAUGCGAGGUGAUGGGGAUCUGCAGCUCUCAGUGCCUUCAUGGGACAGGGAGCACCCGGAGCACCCAGCACAGGGACAGCACACACAUUGAGGUCACAUCCCAUUGAGGGAUGGUAACUGCGUGAUCACAAACCUGAAGAUACUUCUCAGGCUGCCCAAAGCUGUGCUGCGAACAGCCAGAGCUGUUUCCCACUCCGUACUGUGGUGCCUUCUGCCAUCCCAAGGCACGUGCAGACAGCACAACUGCUGAUGCUGCAGCUGUGAUGGGGCCCUCUGUGGCAAUGGGCAUUGCAUCAGACCUGCGCCCACCCGCACACUGUCACUGCAGCUGCUCGGUGCAGUUGUUUGUCACAGGGGAUUCUUGUGCCCACAGGAGUUAUUCACUCUUUCUUGCCAUAGCCUUAAGUGAUGCGUUGACCAUUCCCUGGCAGCCAAAUGCAAUGCUGAUUUCCUACAGGAAACCAAAACCUUGCAGGGAUGCCGUGGUUCUCACACACUCCUGUGUUUGUGCAGCCCCCAUGUGUGCUUUGCUGUGCUGUUGCAUGACUUUGGUCCAUCUCCGUGCCCCCGCUGUGGGGCUGUGGGCAGCACCAUUCCUGCAAAUCACACCCCAAGGCACUGCGCUGCACAUCCCGAAAAUGAGCUGUGGGUUGAGCACAGUGUAACAGGCUAUCCGUGGUUAUCUCUGCCCUAAGGUGGUGCUCUGUGCUUGCUUUCAGACCCACUGCCUUUCCGUUUGGGGAAAAAUAAGGCAUAAUUCCUACACCUACAAACCCUUUCUUCUACAUGGCUGUUUUAGCUCCCAGACGUAGGCGUUGGGGUCACCGCCAGUGUGUGCGAAGGCAGUGGGCUGUGCUGAGCGGAGCUGUGUGGGUGCCUGCAUCCUGGCCCUGUGUUCUUUUGGUAUUUCCUUGUGAACUCCAACUUAUUUUGGCCCUCUGGGAUCUGCUGUGAGAAGCAGAAGUUCAUCUCCCCCAUGUGCUGAUCCAGUGUGGCUCAGCACUCCGCUUGGCUCCAGGCUUCCUUUAAUGGGGCUCAGCACUCUCGCUUGGAGCCCGGGUUCCUCAUCCCUUCCCUCUCCUUCUUCCAUCCUAGGAAUGGGCGCACGCCGGUCGCCUUCCAUUGGGCUCCUGCAGCGUGAGUCACCGGUCCCAGCUGCGCUUUUCUCUCCUUCUGUAGGAAGCAGGAGGGGGCACGCACAAGUCUCUAUUUCUGUAACAAAAAUUAC
RNAcentral lists this long non-coding RNA (8318 nucleotides) under Gallus gallus (chicken). Lineage: Eukaryota; Metazoa; Chordata; Aves; Galliformes; Phasianidae. The record is from RNAcentral.